UCGUGUCCGUUUCUCGUUUCGA
This 22-nucleotide microRNA is filed under the name Apis mellifera (honey bee). RNAcentral describes it as "ame-miR-9895-3p". The record is from miRBase by way of RNAcentral. Lineage: Eukaryota; Metazoa; Arthropoda; Insecta; Hymenoptera; Apidae.